This 253-nucleotide ribosomal RNA is filed under the name uncultured bacterium. Its description in RNAcentral is "partial 16S ribosomal RNA". It matches the Rfam family "Bacterial small subunit ribosomal RNA", at positions 524 to 776 of the family's 1533-position model. The record is from RNAcentral.
UACGUAGGUGGCAAGCGUUGUCCGGAUUUACUGGGCGUAAAGAGCGCGCAGGCGGUCGUUCAAGUCGCGUGUGAAAGCCCCCGGCUCAACUGGGGAGGGUCACGCGAUACUGAUCGACUCGAAGGCAGGAGAGGGUAGUGGAAUUCCCGGUGUAGUGGUGAAAUGCGUAGAUAUCAGGAGGAACGCCGGAGGCGAAAGCGAGUGACUGGCGCGUUCCUGACGCUGAGGUGCGAAAGCUAGGGGAGCAAACAGG